UUGAUUGGGAGGCGCGAUACG
RNAcentral lists this non-coding RNA (21 nucleotides) under Arabidopsis thaliana (thale cress). Lineage: Eukaryota; Viridiplantae; Streptophyta; Magnoliopsida; Brassicales; Brassicaceae. The record is from RNAcentral.